GAUGAACGCUGACAGCAUGCUUAACACAUGCAAGUCAACCGGUGGCGGACGGGUGAGAGACGCGUAAAGAACUUGACUCACAGAUAGGGACAACAUUUGGAAACGAAUGCUAAUACCUGAAACUGUGAGAGAGCUUUGCGUCCCAUUAGCUAGUUGGAGAGGUAACGGCUCACCAAGGCGAGGAUGGGUAGCCGGCCUGAGAGGGUGAUCGGCCACAAGGGGACAGAGAAGCGGCCGUUGCUCCAACGGGAGGCAGGAGCGGGGAUGAUGUGACAAUGGGCCAAAGUCUGAUCCAGCAAUUCUGGGUGUACGAUGAAGUUUUCGGAAGGAAGAGUGCUUUCAGUUUGGAAGCAGUACCAACAGAAGAAGCGACGGCUAACUACGUGCCAGCAGCCGCGGUAAUUC
RNAcentral lists this ribosomal RNA (405 nucleotides) under uncultured bacterium. RNAcentral's name for it is "partial 16S ribosomal RNA". It matches the Rfam family "Bacterial small subunit ribosomal RNA", at positions 28 to 526 of the family's 1533-position model. The record is from RNAcentral.